AUCCUCAGUGGGUGUCUCUAUGUUCUUGGGGGUGGGUGGAGGUGAAGGAUGGUUUCUGUACCAGCCAGGGAGAGAGAGUGAUUUAAAAAUCUCAUCCAGUUUGUUUCCGGAAUGUGCAAAUUGAAUUUGUCACCAGAUCCAUGGAGUAAAUCCUGAGUGGAAAACUGGAGCCCAGGAACGAGGUCAGAAGCUUGAUUAGGAUUGAAGUGGAGCCAGAGGUACCUUGCUUUAACCUUGCUGGUCAAGAUGACAGAUCAUUUACAUUAACAGAUUCUGCGGGCACUCUCCCGGUCGGAGCUGGAAGUGCUUUAGCCCCAGGUGACCUGGGCAACCAAGAGUGACGAUCCAGGAGAAAGAAGCUCCAACGGCCAAGACCCCAUCUGGAAGGAGCGGGGUUUCAAGCACACACCUUAAAGCCACCUGGGUCCCUGUUGUGGCACUGAGAGAGACCGAGCCACCCUGAAUCUUGAAAACAUGUCUCCACAUUUUCCCAGUGGCUUUAAUGUUUUGUUUGUUCAUUUCUUCAUUUAGGCAUCAAACAGUUGGUGUCUCCUUAUUGUGUGCUGAGCAUUGUGGCAGGUGCCGAGGAUGCUAGGGAAGGACAGCUUGGCUCUGCUCUCAAGACACACUGAGUGGAAGAGAGGACAUGGACACAGACUCCCUUAACCAUGACAUGAUGUGAAAGCCACAAUAGGAUGGGUGUCCGAGCAAAGCCCUGCAGGAGUGGAGGAGACCCUUAGCGAGAAACGGGGUUGGGGGGGUAGGUUUCCAAGGAGCUGGGGGUAGAAAGAUGAACAGUAUUUGUCUCAGGGUCUUGGUGGGAGGAGUGGCAUUUCUGAUGGAGGGCAGAGCGUAAGCAGAGUUUAGAAGAGUGACUGGUGGGAGCUCCCAUUGUGGCUCAUUGGGUUAAGAAUCUGACAUAGUGUCUGCGAGGAUGUAGGUUUGAUCCCUGGCCUCACUCUGUGGAUUAAGGUUCUGGAGUUACUGCAAGCUGCAGUGUAGUUCACAGAUGUGGCUCGGAUCCGGUGUUGCCAUGGCUGUGGUGUGGGCUGGCAGCUGCAGCUCUGAAUCGACCCCUGGCCCAGGAACUUCCUUAUGCUGCAGGUAUGGCCGUAAAAAAAAAAAAAAAAAAAAAAAAAAAAAAAAAAAAAAAAGAAAAAAGAAGAGUUACUGGUGGACAGGAGAGCCAAGCUGAUGCUACCAUAGUCUGUGAUCUGCUGUUAUGUAAGGUCACAGGUAGGCAAGGGUGAUGAAAGAGCCAGUAAAUCUCUAGCUCCCCAGUCACCUAGAUCUUGUUCUUCAAGUCCAAGAGUCCAAGGUUCAGAAUAAGAAGCGCUGCUGGGUUCUGCCCAUCUGACAAGCACUGGCUGCAGAAGGUCUUGUGAAUAUCAUGUGACCUCCGGAAGGAGACCUCGGGGAUUGGUGGCCAGUCGUGGCAGUGUCCCUUUGGACAAGAAGGAGUUUGUUUUGAUGCAGUUGGGAGAGGCUGAAAGCUCCCCCCACUUGAGGCCAGAGCAUUCCUGCUGACUGGAACAAAGCACUCUGUUGAUGCAUCAUCGAGGUACCCCCAGGGAGAGAGCAAGGUUCCAAUGGAUGUUUAUUGAACACUCUCCCUGGGUCACCACUGUCCAAAGUGCUCCAUCACAUCCUUACAACAAACCAAAAGACUAGGUUAUCAUUUUGCCAAGGAAGAAACUGGCCCAGACAGGUGGGAUGACUUGUCCAAGCUCGCAUAACUAGUAAGUAGCAGAGCAUCAUUCUGACCAACCCAGAUCCUGUGCUCUUAACCAGCUUCCUACAUCCACCCAAGAGAGCAAGACCACCAGGACAUUCUAUGCUAGAUGCUUCCUUAUGUGUGUCAUCUCAGGAUGUUAUCAGCAUGACAAUUCUGUGAGAUGGGCAUCAUUUGACUAAUUGGGAAACUGAGGCUCAGAAAGAUAAGUAACUUAUUAUCAACUAGCCCAGUAACUGAUGGAGCAUUUAAUCUUAGAUGUGCCAGGACAUCAAAGCUGAGAUCAUUUCCCCUCUUCCAUGCUGAAUUUCCAAGAAAGAAUCCCAGUAGAUGCUGCUUCUUUUCUGGCCAUUCAAGGAGGUAGGCAUUUCAAUGAACAACCACUUCCCUUGUGAAUGACCAUCUAGCAAACCCCUCUUUUUACUCCCUAUCUUUACUGCUAGGAUGGUGUAUAUUCUGGACACUGAUGAUAUUUGUCCCCCAAACUUUUUCCUAGCAGAGUGGAGACAAACUCCAUGCAGUUACUGUGGGUGGGGAGUGAGUCAUGUAUAUAGGGGGACCUUAUUUUAGUGGAACUCAAGAGCCAAAGUUGAACUAGGGUUCACCUAUAGAGAAGGAAUAUUCAUAAACAACUGUUAAGUAGGCAACUCUUAUAGCGUGUUUAGGGGAAGAUUAGCAAAUAUUUUUAGCAAAUGGCUAGACAGUAUUUCAGUCUUUGCAGGACAUAUGCAUGUCUCAUAAAUAAUGUUACCUGUCUCUGCCAUAACUAUUCCAUUCUUCAUGGGAGUGCAGAAACAGCAAUGGAUACUACAUAACUGAAUUAGCAUGGCGAUGUUCCAGUAAACUCUUUUAUGGAC
This 2589-nucleotide long non-coding RNA is filed under the name Sus scrofa (pig). RNAcentral describes it as "lncRNA (ENSSSCG00035037873.1)". The record is from RNAcentral. Lineage: Eukaryota; Metazoa; Chordata; Mammalia; Artiodactyla; Suidae.